UACGUAGGGACCUAGCGUUGUCCGGAAUCAUUGGGCGUAAAGCGCGCGUAGGCGGCCCGGUAAGUCCGUUGUAAAAGUCGAAGGCUCAACCUUCGAAAGCCGAUGGAUACUGCCGGGCUAGAGUCCGGAAGAGGCGAGUAGAAUUCCUGGUGUAGCGGUGGAAUGUGCAGAUAUCAGGAGGAAUACCCAUAGCGAAGGCAGCUCGCUGGGACGGUACUGACGCUGAGGCGCGAAAGCGUGGGGAGCGAACAGG
Molecule: ribosomal RNA, 253 nt
Filed under: uncultured bacterium
Lineage: Bacteria
Description: partial 16S ribosomal RNA
Rfam family: Bacterial small subunit ribosomal RNA
Source: RNAcentral